This 485-nucleotide ribosomal RNA is filed under the name uncultured bacterium. RNAcentral's name for it is "partial 16S ribosomal RNA". It matches the Rfam family "Bacterial small subunit ribosomal RNA", at positions 28 to 523 of the family's 1533-position model. The record is from RNAcentral.
GACGAACGCUGGCGGCGUGCUUAACACAUGCAAGUCGAACGGUGAAAGCGGAGCUUGCUCCGCUGGAUCAGUGGCGAACGGGUGAGUAACACGUGGGCAACCUGCCCCUCACUUCGGGAUAACUCCGGGAAACCGGGGCUAAUACCGGAUAUGACCUCCUUGGGCAUCCUUGGAGGUGGAAAGUUUUUCGGUGAGGGAUGGGCCCGCGGCCUAUCAGCUUGUUGGUGAGGGAGUGGCUCACCAAGGCGACGACGGGUAGCCGGCCUGAGAGGGCUACCGGCCACACUGGGACUGAGACACGGCCCAGACUCCUACGGGAGGCAGCAGUGGGGAAGAUUGCGCAAUGGGCGAAAGCCUGACGCAGCAACGCCGCGUGCGGGAUGACGGCCUUCGGGUUGUAAACCGCUUUCAGCAGGGAAGAAGCCGCAAGGUGACGGUACCUGCAGAAGAAGCACCGGCUAACUACGUGCCAGCAGCCGCGGUAA